RNAcentral lists this ribosomal RNA (464 nucleotides) under Vreelandella stevensii. Its description in RNAcentral is "partial 16S ribosomal RNA". It matches the Rfam family "Bacterial small subunit ribosomal RNA", at positions 338 to 795 of the family's 1533-position model. The record is from RNAcentral. Lineage: Bacteria; Pseudomonadati; Pseudomonadota; Gammaproteobacteria; Oceanospirillales; Halomonadaceae.
CCUACGGGAGGCUGCAGUGGGAAUAUUGGACAAUGGGCGAAAGCCUGAUCCAGCCAUGCCGCGUGUGUGAAGAAGGCCUUCGGGUUGUAAAGCACUUUCAGUGGGGAAGAAAGCCUUGGGGCUAAUACCCUCGAGGAAGGACAUCACCCACAGAAGAAGCACCGGCUAACUCCGUGCCAGCAGCCGCGGUAAUACGGAGGGUGCGAGCGUUAAUCGGAAUUACUGGGCGUAAAGCGCGCGUAGGCGGUCUGAUAAGCCGGUUGUGAAAGCCCCGGGCUCAACCUGGGAACGGCAUCCGGAACUGUCAGGCUAGAGUGCAGGAGAGGAAGGUAGAAUUCCCGGUGUAGCGGUGAAAUGCGUAGAGAUCGGGAGGAAUACCAGUGGCGAAGGCGGCCUUCUGGACUGACACUGACGCUGAGGUGCGAAAGCGUGGGUAGCAAACAGGAUUAGAUACCCCUGUAGUC